GUGCCAGCCGCCGCGGUAAUUCCAGCUCCAAUAGCGUAUAUUAAAGUUGUUGUGGUUAAAAAGCUCGUAGUUGGAUCUCGGCGGACUGAGGGCGGUUUGCUUGCUAGUAUUACUGCCCUAUAGUCCGUAGUUUUGCCAGAGGUUUCGGGGUGCUCUUAAUCGAGUGUCCCGGGAUGCUGGCAGGUUUACUUUGAAAAAAUUAGAGUGCUCAAAGCAGGCUAUUACGCCUGAAUAUUCGUGCAUGGAAUAAUAGAAUAGGAAGUCGUUUCUAUUUUGUUGGUUUUCGGAAAUCGACUUAAUGAUUAAUAGGGACAGUCGGGGGCAUUUGUAUUCAAACGACAGAGGUGAAAUUCUUGGACCGUUUGAAGACAAACUACUGCGAAAGCAUUUGCCAAGAAUGUUUUCAUUAAUCAAGAACGAAAGUUAAAGGUUCGAAGGCGAUUAGAUACCGCCCUAGUUUUAACCAUAAACGAUGCCAGCUAGCGAUCUGCGGACGUUUUUUUUGUAGACUCCGCAGGAAGCUUCCGGGAAACCAAAGCAUUUGGGUUCCAGGGGAAGUAUGGUUGCAAAGCUGAAACUUAAAGGAAUUGACGGAAGGGCACCACCAGGAGUGGAGCCUGUGGCUUAAUUUGACUCAACACGGGAAAUCUCACCAGGCCCGGACACUGGAAGGAUUGACAGAUUGAUAGCUCUUU
This 695-nucleotide ribosomal RNA is filed under the name uncultured eukaryote. RNAcentral's name for it is "SSU rRNA". It matches the Rfam family "Eukaryotic small subunit ribosomal RNA", at positions 564 to 1260 of the family's 1831-position model. The record is from RNAcentral.